This 76-nucleotide transfer RNA is filed under the name Planctomycetota bacterium. Its description in RNAcentral is "Planctomycetes bacterium tRNA-Trp". It matches the Rfam family "tRNA". From Rfam's summary of the family: Transfer RNA (tRNA) molecules are approximately 80 nucleotides in length. The record is from RNAcentral. Lineage: Bacteria; Pseudomonadati; Planctomycetota.
AGGAGAGUAGCUCAAUUGGUAGAGCACUGGUUUCCAAAACCAGCGGUUGGGGGUUCGAGUCCCUCCUCUCCUGCCA